Molecule: ribosomal RNA, 335 nt
Filed under: uncultured bacterium
Lineage: Bacteria
Description: bacterial SSU rRNA
Rfam family: Bacterial small subunit ribosomal RNA
Source: RNAcentral
AUUGAACGCUGGCGGCAUGCCUUACACAUGCAAGUCGAGCGGCAGCGCGGGGCAACCCUGCGGCGAGCGGCGAACGGGUGAGUAAUACAUCGGAACGUGUCCAGUAGCGGGGGAUAACCUGUCGAAAGAUAGGCUAAUACCGCGUACGACCUACGGGUGAAAGCGGGGACCGCAAGGCCUCGCACUAUUGGAGCGGCCGAUGUCGGAUUAGCUAGUUGGCGGGGUAACGGCCCACCAAGGCGACGAUCCGUAGCUGGUCUGAGAGGACGACCAGCCACACUGGAACUGAGACACGGUCCAGACUCCUACGGGAGGGCAGCAGUGGGGGUAAUUUU